This is a long non-coding RNA of Austrofundulus limnaeus, 510 nucleotides long. RefSeq lists it as uncharacterized. The record is from RefSeq and is a predicted model, not a curated record. The transcript is spliced from 4 exons. Lineage: Eukaryota; Metazoa; Chordata; Actinopteri; Cyprinodontiformes; Rivulidae.
ACACAACAUUUACGCAGAAAAUUAAUAUCUCCUAGUUUCACUUAAUGUUUCACAUUAUCAUCAAAAACAUAAGUUUAGUCUCAAACUUUUCAUUUCCCUCAAAAUUUCAUCUUUAAUGUUAAAAUCCGGAAACAAACAAAUGAUAUUUUCCCCUCAGAGUUGUAAAUAUCGGCCCCACCUCCGAGCUCGCUUUAGCUCCGCCCUCCUGCUUCAGUAGACGUAACCCCGCCCCUGUGUUUAUUUUGACGUAGCUCCGCCCCUGGCUGUCCGCGUGCUGCUGCUGUCUAUUUCUGUAACGAGAAGAGGCUGAGACCAGCGGUUACCUGCUCACCUGUUGAAUUAACCGGAUAUUUAAACCUCGUCCACCACUUCCGGCCCAUCGGUGGUCAAACGGGUUCAUUAUGGAGGAGCUUCAUGACGUCCAGCUGACUGAGAUCAAACCCCUGCUGACGGGGCAGAAUGGGAGUAAUCUGCAGGACUUUGACUGUCAGAAUGAGUGUGUCUGUGGGU